This is a non-coding RNA of Drosophila suzukii, 452 nucleotides long. The record is from RefSeq and is a predicted model, not a curated record. NCBI's taxonomy places the organism in Eukaryota, Metazoa, Arthropoda, Insecta, Diptera, Drosophilidae.
CAAAUAUGCUCAAAAUUGUUGUCGAUCAUAAUAUCAAGAUGUGUCGGUGCAGAUUAGGUAUGCGUGGUCUAAUGAUUUUAAUAAAUUCAGUAGCUGCAAUUUAUCCGAUUAUUUUUGCGUUAAGGAUAACAGCGAUUCUAUAAGUUUAUAAUGCCGAUUGCUUAUACUUGGAUUACAAUAAGCACUCUUAUCAGCGUUUACUUAUUAUUAAACUCGAGACGAUUUGGCGUUUUGAACUGGGUCGACUUUCCUCUAAGCCGAUCCGAUGACCCGAUGAUGGCGGCGAGUGGGUGGGUUUUGGCCUUCCUUGCCUUCAUGGGUCAAUAUUGGUAUGCUCAAUAUUUGAAAGCAAAAAUUAGACGACGUGGACCUGAAUAAAUUAAUACAAAUGUGUAAAAGUAUUUUAAAAUUGUAAUUGUACAAUAAGUAAAGUUUAUGCAGUAUUAAAAAAA